GAUGAACGCUGGCGGCGUGCCUGAUACAUGCAAGUCGAGCGCACAGAUGAGGGCUUUGUUCCUCUGACGUGAUCCGCGCACGGGUGUGUAACACGUGGAACAUCUACCUAUAAGACUGGGAAAACUUCGGGAAAAUGGAGCAAAUAGCGGAAAAUAUAUUGAAGCAUAUGAUUCAAUAGUGAGAGACAGUUUUGCUGUUACUAAUAGAUGGAUCGGCGCCGCAUUAGCUAGUUGGUGAGGCAACGGACUACCAAGGCAACGAUGCGUAGCCGACCUGGGAGGGUGUCCGGCCACACUGGAACUGAGACCCGGCCAAGACUCCUACGGGAGGCAGAAGUAGGGAAUCUCCCGCAAUGGGCGAAAGCCUGACGGGGAACCGCCGCGUGAGUGAUGAGGUUCUCCGGAUGUUAAGACUCUUUGAUUAGGGAGGAAGAAUGGUGUAAGUAACUAUGCACGUCUUGACGGUACCUAAUCAGAAAGCCACGGCUAACUACGUG
This 497-nucleotide ribosomal RNA is filed under the name uncultured bacterium. RNAcentral's name for it is "partial 16S ribosomal RNA". It matches the Rfam family "Bacterial small subunit ribosomal RNA", at positions 28 to 507 of the family's 1533-position model. The record is from RNAcentral.